AGCACUCAAUUCCAAAGCCAGCUGAAUUUGAUAUUCCUCCUCAAUUUCAGGAUCCCUCGAAGACCCUGAGUCACGCCUGGCUGCAUCAGAAACAUCCAAACCACUACUACUAAUCGAAUCAGAUGGCUCGGUCCUCUCUCCUCUAGUCACAUUUGAAGAUGAUGGUGGACUAGGACUUUUUUUAUUCAACCAGGGAAUACCUGAGAAGGGUUUAUGCUCAUUGGACCUAGAGGGUAAAACCCUAUCAGGGGAAGAUGCAUCAAUGGACUUAUUGCCCUUUGAUGAAUUUGACCCUUCUGCAUCUUGUGAUUGAUUAGACAUGAUGUGGAGCUUCUUAAGAAAGUUCUUCAUGUUAUUUCACUGAGCU
Molecule: unclassified non-coding RNA, 367 nt
Filed under: Hevea brasiliensis (rubber tree)
Lineage: Eukaryota; Viridiplantae; Streptophyta; Magnoliopsida; Malpighiales; Euphorbiaceae
Source: RNAcentral